Molecule: ribosomal RNA, 497 nt
Filed under: uncultured bacterium
Lineage: Bacteria
Description: partial 16S ribosomal RNA
Rfam family: Bacterial small subunit ribosomal RNA
Source: RNAcentral
GAUGAACGCUGGCGGCGUGCCUAAUACAUGCAAGUCGAGCGACCAGACGAGGAGCUUGCUCCUCUGACGUUAGCGGCGGACGGGUGAGUAACACGUGGAUAACCUACCUCUAUUACUGGGAGGAUAUCGGGAAAACGCUGCCAAUACUAGAGAAUAUGUCCAACGGCAGGGUUCAAUAGUGAAUGACGCUUUGCCUGUCUGAUUGAGCCGAUUCCGCGCCGCAUUAGCUAGUUGGUAAGGUAACGGCUUACCAAGGCAACGAUGCGUAGCCGACCUGAGAGGGUGAUCGGCCACACUGGAACUGAGACACGGUCCAGACUCCUACGGGAGGCAGCAGUAGGGAAUAUUGCACAAUGGGCGCAAGCCUGAUGCAGCAACGCCGCGUGGGUGAUGAAGGCCUUCGGAUCGUAAAGCUCUGUUAUUAGGAAAGAACAGCUGUAGAAGAAACCAUGGACGUCUUGACGGUACCCAAUGAGAAAGCACCGGCUAACUACGUG